AGGACGAACGCUGGCGGCGCGCCUAAUACAUGCAAGUCGAGCGAGAACCAGGGCUUGCCCUGGGGAGAGCGGCGAACGGGUGCGUAUCACGUGAGCAACCUGCCCCGAAGACCGGGAUAACUCGAGGAAACUCGGGCUAAUACCGGAUGUCCUCGAUGGACCGCAUGGUCCGACGAGGAAAUGGAUUCCGCUUCGGGAUGGGCUCGCGGUCUAUCAGCUUGUUGGUGGGGUAACGGCCUACCAAGGCAACGACGGAUAGCUGGUUUGAGAGGACGAUCAGCCACACUGGGACUGAGACACGGCCCAGACUCCUACGGGAGGCAGCAGUAGGGAAUCUUGCGCAAUGGGCGAAAGCCUGACGCAGCGACGCCGCGUGCGGGAUGAAGGCCUUCGGGUCGUAAACCGCUUUCAGCAGGGACGAAUUGACGGUACCUGCAGAGAAGGCCGGCCAACUACGCGCCAGCAGCCGCGGU
RNAcentral lists this ribosomal RNA (473 nucleotides) under uncultured bacterium. RNAcentral's name for it is "SSU rRNA". It matches the Rfam family "Bacterial small subunit ribosomal RNA", at positions 26 to 521 of the family's 1533-position model. The record is from RNAcentral.